RNAcentral lists this long non-coding RNA (712 nucleotides) under Chrysemys picta bellii (western painted turtle). RNAcentral's name for it is "lncRNA (ENSCPBG00000022127.1)". The record is from RNAcentral. Lineage: Eukaryota; Metazoa; Chordata; Testudines; Emydidae.
GUGGCUAAAAGGCUGCAGUACUGCACCCUCCAGGAGACCGGCUUUUUAAGGAGGAACUCCCCCAAGCCUCUUUCCCACCGUGAAGCUGCCCCUGCACACCUGGGAUGGGUAAGGGCAGGCUCACCGCUCCCCCCCGGCAGUACACAACGCCCUUUGCUGUGACUGUGGUUUGAAAAGAGAGGGCAAACGCGUCGUGCCCAACUCUCUGCUGGGGAAGAUUGGGGAAGUAGGCGGAGCGGCCUUAAAAGUCUUGCCUGCACCUGGUUGGUUUACAUUUGCGUCAAUUUCAGCCCUGUAGAAUUUGGGGGGCUCAGGACAAAGGAAUCGGGAGCUGGAGGCCCUCGGACCAUCUUAAACCUGCUCCCUCCCGUGGCACAGCUUGGAGCGAGAGAGGGGCUGCUGGGUGGUCCUGAAGAAUUAGCAGCGGGGGACAACACACACACACACACACAUCUUCCUAGGAGACCCGGGCGCUAGAGAUUAGUUAUGAGCCAUCUCCCUGCACCUAUAUCUGCCUAGCUUGGUAUCCCAGACUGUGACGCUCCGAAGGAACCCAUGGCUGUCCAUUGUCCCCACUUAAUUUUGUCCUCCACCUUGGGGAGCUGGGAGUGAAGCUGGGAGUCGGAAGAUCUGGGUUCUAUUCCUUGCUGAGCUGCCGUGUGACCUUGGGUGAGUCCCUUCAGUUCCCUGGCCCUCUUUCUCCUCCCACCUG